CCCCUAUGGCACGUAGAAGUUUCCAGCCUAGGGGUCCAACCUGAGCUAUAGCUGCCGGCCUACACCAGAGCCAGAGCCACGCCAGAUCCGAGCCAUCUGCAACCUACACCACAGCUCACAGCAAUGCUAGAUCCUUAACCCACUGAGUGAGGCCAGGGAUCGAACCUGAAUCAUCAUGGAUACUAGUCAGAUAAAUUUCUGCUGAGCCAUGACAGGAACUCCCAUUUUAGUUUUAUAUUAAACUUUUUCAUCUAAGUCUUAUAAUACUUGUCACUAUGCAUAUAUAUAUAUUUCAAUGAAACAUCAGUAAAAAUGUAUCAACACCCAUUAGCACCAACAUGUACUUUUUUUUGGCCACACUGGAGGCCUGUGGAAGUUCCUGGGCCAGGUAUCGAACUUGCGCCACAGCAGCAACCCAAGCCAUUGCAAUGAUAAUGCUGGAUCUUGAACCCACUGUGCCACAAGGAAACUCCAAUCAAUAUUUACUUUUAAGAUGAUGUUUUGCCUGCAUCCUUUGGAUGUGGUGGGACCUGGAUUAAACUCAGUGGUUCCUGCAUUUCUGGUGUCUUAUAACAAUCAUAGAAAAUGGUAAAGAAAAAUAGGACAUUGUGUAUAUAAGUACACAUAUUUGCAGUAAUACUAAUUUAUUAUAAUUGAUUUAUCAAUAGUUGAAUGGGGUUUUGUGAUCUGAACUAGUGCUUUAAUCUCCAUUAGUUAUAUACUACAUCUAAAGCUGUGUUUCAAGUUAUUUAAAAAACCGGCAAUAUCAAAUGUUUUCAAUGGAAAUUAUUAUUAUUAAACCCUGAGACAUUGGUCAAAAAAGCAAAGCAAUUUUAGCGGAAAGUAAUAUCAGAUAAAAAUGUCUAAAUGGGUUAUAAUGCAUCUGGCAAUGACUUAACUAUUUCAAAAUAAGAAUUUGGAGCAUUAAACAUGCAGACUUUAUUUUAUAAUGAACAUGUCAUCAUUUAUUAGACAUUUAUUUAUGUGUGUGUAUUUCCUCCAACUUCAUUCCUACCCUCCAACCAGAAUAAACACUAUGUGCUCCAAAUUGUAUUAGAAAUGUUGACACAGUGAGGAGGGAAAUUCACCUUUAGGAACGUGCCGUAGGAAUGACAGAAAGAUCUCAGAGCGAGCCUUAGCCAGUUACCCCUCACGGGUGAAAUCUGGCUCAUCAUCAGCUUUUGUCAGUAGAGGUCUCAGAACGUAGCUAUGCCCAUUCAUUUAGGCAUGUGCUCAUCGGCUGCUUUGGGCUUAUAAUACCAAAGUUGAGCAUCUGUGAGAGAGCUUAUGACCCUAAAGGUAGAAACUAUUUAUUUGGCGCUUUAUAGAAAUAGUUUCUAAGCUCUGUACAGUAUAACUGACUAAUACCUGGAAGAAGGCAGCAUGUUUAUUACAUUAGAACUAGUUUCCAAGGUUUAUGUGGAAACUAGUGCAAAUUAUUCUUUAGAAAUCUUGGGAUGUCAUAGGUGUUUGUGGAACAUAUCUUCUUUUUACAUAUUUUAUACAUAAAACUUGUACUUUUCAUAACAGAUAUAUAACUACAAUCUGUAUCGUGCCUUUUUGUUCUGUUUUGGGAAACAUUGAAAGUGCUUUUUGUCAUUUCUCACUCAGUUCUUUUAAAGGUCAAAUAAAGACUGCCAUUUCUGGAAGAAUCUUCAUUAAACAACAUGAAUCUCCUUUCUUUGGGGCAAGAUAAACUCUUUGUUUUGGCUUUUAUUCUGUUCAUCUAUUUUGCGCCAAUUUUCUAGAGUCCUCAUAUAUCUUUCUAGGCUUUAAUCCCCUCUAUAUUUUCUUUUUUCUUCCCAUAAGAAAGAAAUACACAAUUGUGAAAGUAGCUUAAAAUUCACCUAAAUAAAUUUGCAUUUGUUAAAAUAAUAAAUAAAUCAUAUUCUCAAGUUAGGAUCUUGUUUCUACUGAUCAAAUGGAUUUUUUAAAUCCGUUUACACUUACUAGUAUGUUUAUUUGCAAAAUUAUUUUCUAUAAAUUCUCCUGCAAAAGUCUAGGUGGAUUAUUUUUCUCUAAUUAGCCAAUUAUUUUAGCUUGCUUUCCAUGUUGCUAGGUGUAUUUUCUUUUCUAAAUUUCAAGUUCAAAUAUAGGCCAGGGACUCUGUCACUUCUAUUCAUUAUGUUCCAUGUAUCUAUCUGUAAUGGUUUCCAUACAUAUCGUAUAUUUUAAGAAUAUUUUUGUUUUCUACGAUGUUUUCAUAUAUGACUGACUGUGAUGUACUUAUCUUUUUAAAAUUGGCUUGCUUGCUUGCUUCCUUCCUUCCUUCUUCCUCCCUUUCUUUCUUUCUUUUUUUCUUCUUUCUCUCUCUUUUUUCUUUUUAUAGUUGCACCUGUCACACAUGGGCGUUCUGGGCCGGGGAUUGAAUCCAAGCUGCAGCUGCAACCUACGUCACAGCUGAGGCAAUUCCAGAUCCUAUAACCCACUGAACCAGGCUGGGGAUCCCACUUGGGGAACCCAUGCCUCCCCAGCUGCCAAAGCCACUUGUCAUUGGAUUCUUAACCCACUGCACCAUAGCAGGAAAUCCCUCAAAAUUUUCUUAAAUAUUAUUGCAAUCAAGAUCAAAAAUCAUUCCUCAUGGGCUUCACUUAUGAUGUGCUAGGCACUUUUAUAGAUGUGGUGAACAGGAUGAGCAGAAAUAUCUAAAGGAAGCUGAGGCUUCUCAGGAAAUGCUGACUUCUGGCUUGCCUGAAAUUGGAAGAUGAGCUGCCCCUGCUUGCCCUUGCCCCCGGCAUCCCUCCGCUGCGAGGACCUUCCCAUCUUCAUCCUCGUGUUUCCGGCAGAAGCUUCAUGAGGGGCUGUCCUGCUGCUUUUCCUGGUCUUGCUGCUGAUGCUGGGUGACCACCCUCUGCAUACGGGUUCAUUACACAAGAGCUUUACGUCAUAGUGAAGUGGGGUAUUCAUUUUAGAAUUUUUGACUUUAUUAGAGAAGAUAAAUUUUUUGUUUUUUUUUUUAAAUUAGCAUUGAGAUAUUUUGUAUGAUUUAUUUUAUCUUAUUUUUCUUUCAAUUGGCAGAAAAACCUAACCCUAACCCUAACCCUAACCCUAACCCUGGGAGGGGAAUUAUGAGCCUUGGGGAUCUGAAAAGGAAAAAAUCUUCUACUCUGGUCAUUACUCACUGCAGGAUGGGAUGGGGAAUGAAAGCAACUAACACCAAGCCCAGUCUUUCGUUAGUGGAUAAAGAAAGGAGGCUGAGACAUUUCACAGCAGUUUGGGAGUUGGGAAAUUGACGUACAACCACUUAGAAGCAUUUAUAUCUGGAUUAUAAAUCCGUAAGUGCUCAUUUUAAAAGAGAUUUGUAUAUAUGAGCCAUGUAAAAAUUAAGGGAAUUAAAACAAGGCUGAGCCAUUUCAUGUUUCAUCUCAAUGAUAAUCGUAUGCUUGACUUGCUUUUUCUUACGCUCUCAUGCCUUGAUCCUUUAGAUUUAUUUUCUAGGACUGGUGUGAACAUGAUAAACUUUAUAAAUUAUAAAUGCCAUAUUUUAUCAAACAUGAAAUGUAUACAUUUUCACAUUUUAAUAUACUUUGACUCUGACUGUGUCUUAUAAUUGUCAUCACCCAGGAUACAGAUAGGACAUAACUUGUACUGCUUGCAUGGCUAUGCAUGGGUUAGAGCUUGUUAGAGUGUGCUCCUUUUUAACUUAGUUGUGUAUUUUUAAUUCCACAGGUGGGGAUUUAAUUCCCAAUGAAAUUGUAUUUCCCAAGAUUACAUCAUGACUUUGCAUUAAAACUAAAAAGGUACUGUGUUCACAGGAAAGACUGGAACUCAAAGAGCAGAGAGUGGAUUCGGUAUCGUGAAGAACAUAUUAGUCGUUGGGAGAAUGAUUACAAUUUCAUAUGAUCUUACACAAUGACCAGACUGUGUUUUAUGAGACCUAAGGAAGUAAGAUAUCCAAAAGUUUGACGAUCCCGCUGCAUUUUGCUUGAGUUACGGUUGCAUGUAGCACAGCAAACAAUGAAGCUGAUGUCAGGAUAAGUUGUCCCAGAGCUGGGAAUAGAUGAGAAAAGAAAUCCGAGCAAGGAGAUGCUGGUGUGACAGCUUUAUUCAUCAAAAGGGGCUAUCGUUAAGGUGUCAAACAUCGCUGUGUCAGAAUUUUCUGCUGAUGUUGAACAAAAGACAAUAGCAGCACUAUCUUUAAGAAAUGCUGCAACACCAAUGCUCUUGUCAGCUCAUGGCAUGAGAUUGUGUCGGGAAAAAAUGAGUAUCUGAGUUGGAAAGUGACUCAGAAAACGUGGACGCUGAAUAUGAAGUAGCAUCAAACUUAAGUGGCUUGCACGUAUUGUCCUUUUAGUAUACACAAGAACGACAGACAGGGAGUUCCUGUCAUGGCACAGCAGAAACGAAUCCAACUAGCAUCCAGGAGGAUGCAAGUUUAAUCUCUGGCCUCGGGUUAAGGAUCCAGCGUUGCCGUGAGCUGUGCUGUAAGUCACAGACUCGGCUCGGAUCCCCUGUUGCUGUGGUUGGGGAUAGGCCGGCAGCUACAGCUCUGAUUCAAACCCUAGCUUAGGAACUCCCAUAUGCCGUGGGUGCUGCCCUAAAAAAAGAAGGAAAAAAAAAAAAAGAAUGACAUAAAAUCUUUUAAUUUUAAGAGAGCUCUUUCAUUAAAUAUAAAGUAAAUAUUCUAUAUGAUAAGAAAAGCGGAAACUUAGAAACUGGUAUCUAUGUGAUUUAUAACAGAAUCUGAAACCACUGUAGACAUAGAUACGAAGUACAAAGUAGGAAGAUGUAAAUGUCAUAUGCAUCCGCGUACGUGGUCCUGGGUCCAGCCCUGGGAACUGCGUCGGGAAAUAUGUAGCUGGGGGAGUCACAGCUGAGAUGGGAGCAGAAGAACCAAAAAGAGCUAAUGAGAGAAGAGGUGGCAGCACAUUCUGGGCAAAGGGAACAGAAUGUGAAAGGUCUUAAGAAAGAGGAAGCAUCACAAGUCUGAGGUAGUAACAUCAAACUGAAGCGAUUUGACAGAAGAAAUUGAGGAAGUGUUCCAUGAAGUGAAAAUUGGGGCUUGUCAGAGCUUAAAUCAUGCUGUCUUUGAAAGUCAUGUUAAUACUUUUUUUUUUUUUUACAUUUCUGAGCAACGAGCCCAUUGGAGAGACGUAGAAGAGGGGAAUCAACUCAGAGUGCGGGUGAAGACCGUGCGAUGGAAGACGGUGUAGAAAACGAAUUUAAGAUCACCCACUUUGAUCCCUGGAAAGAAAAGCAUGGAGAAGGUUCAGAGUGGAGGAAAUGGGAAUGAGUCAGUGUGAGAUUUUUCAAAGUUGAAGUGUGUUGGACUCUAUAGUGUUUGCAAAUAACUACCUGGAAAGACUGUUGAAUUUCAAUGUCUCAGAUGGUGACAGAAAUUUGGAAAAUAGAGUUACCUACUGCAUUUGAAGCUGUCCAUACCCUACAGUGUAGCAACUGCGUUCUUCAGAGUCUACACUGGAAAAGCUUGUGAGCGGGAAUAUUGUACAGAAACCUUCAUAGAAGCCUGGCUUAUGGGAGGGAAAUUUUGGGAACGCGUUGAACUGUUAUUUGCAAAUUCUGGUAUACCUGUAAAAUGCACAGUAUACAGCAAUGAACACUUAGUAAUUGCAGCUAUCACAUUCUCCAUCUCCAGAUAUAGUUUCUUCACUGGAUAGUGAUCACCUGAGAAUUCGCUCUUCACUGAUGCACUAAAAUGUCCAUUCAUGUUUUGUAUAAUUUUAUUUAUUAUGCUAUGUUUCAUAUUUAAUGAUAUGCGUAUGUUAAUUAUAUACACAACGCAGAAUGAAUAUAUAUACAAAAAUGCAAAUACAUACACAUAUUGAUAUAAAAUAGUAAUAAAACUAAGAAAUGUCCAAGAACCAUGUGACGUAAAUUUGUUAAUGCUUGUUAUUGGCACAAAAUACAUUAAAUUAGAGACAAGGCUUAUUGUAUGUUGGAUAGGAAGACUCAAAUUAUGGAGUGAUUUUUCCCUUUGUUAACUUAUUGAUUUGACAAUAUCCUGAUAAAAUUUCAACUGGGAUUCUUUUUAACUAUACCAUUUGUUUUUAGAUUUAUAUCUAAGAAAAGGAACAGAUAAAAAUAUCUAGGGAAACUCUAGGAAAAAACAAAGAAUAGGAGUCAUCUCUACAACUAGCAGAAAUUGAAACAUAGUGUACAGACUAAAAACAAAGUUUCAUGGAUCUGGUCUAUUAAUGAAAACAAGAACAAUGGAACACACUGGUAAUCCAGAGACACACCAAGAAAAUAUGGAAUUUAGUAUUAGUUGGCGUAUGAGGGUACUGGAAAAGGAAGAGGUGGACAAUUCCAUAAACAGUGCAUACACGUUCUGUAAACAAACAAACAAAAAAUAAGUAAACUUGGUUUCAUAGUUUCUACAUUGAAAAUACUUUUUUUUUUUUUGCUUUUGCUUUUUAGGGCCACAAACACGGCAUAUGGAAGUUCUAGGCUAGGGGUCCAAUCAGAGCUACAAGUGCUGGCCUACACCACAGCCCCAGCAAUGCCAGAUCCCCGACCCACUGAGAGAGGCCAGG
RNAcentral lists this long non-coding RNA (6494 nucleotides) under Sus scrofa (pig). RNAcentral's name for it is "lncRNA (ENSSSCG00015036005.1)". Lineage: Eukaryota; Metazoa; Chordata; Mammalia; Artiodactyla; Suidae. The record is from RNAcentral.